RNAcentral lists this transfer RNA (75 nucleotides) under Clostridiales bacterium. RNAcentral's name for it is "tRNA-Arg". It matches the Rfam family "tRNA". From Rfam's summary of the family: Transfer RNA (tRNA) molecules are approximately 80 nucleotides in length. RNAcentral also lists the same sequence under 2 other names. Lineage: Bacteria; Bacillati; Bacillota; Clostridia; Eubacteriales. The record is from RNAcentral.
GCCCUCUUAGUUAAGUGGAUAUAACAAGCCCCUCCUAAGGGCUAGUCACGUGUUCGACUCACGUAGAGGGUGCCA